Molecule: non-coding RNA, 99 nt
Organism: Pelobates cultripes (western spadefoot toad)
Lineage: Eukaryota; Metazoa; Chordata; Amphibia; Anura; Pelobatidae
Source: the annotation of a GenBank genome assembly
UCGACAUUUCAGCCACAAUACAUGGCUUUCAUCAGGAUCUUUACAGCUCAAAGAAGCUGUAAAGAUCCUGAUGAAAGCCAUGUAUUGUGGCUGAAAUGU